RNAcentral lists this ribosomal RNA (500 nucleotides) under uncultured bacterium. RNAcentral describes it as "bacterial SSU rRNA". It matches the Rfam family "Bacterial small subunit ribosomal RNA", at positions 66 to 545 of the family's 1533-position model. The record is from RNAcentral.
GCGAGAAAGGGGCAACCCCGGUAAAGCGGCGCACGGGUGAGUAACACUUAGGUAAUCUACCCCCAGGUGGUGGAUAACCUUCCGAAAGGAAGGCUAAUACAGCAUGGGACCACGACUCCGAAAGGAGUUGAGGUGAAAGUCGGCCUCUUCACGAAAGCCGACGCCAGGGGAUGAGCCUGCGGCCCAUCAGCUAGUUGGUAGGGUAAUGGCCUACCAAGGCAAAGACGGGUAGCUGGUCUGAGAGGAUGAUCAGCCACACUGGAGCUGAGACACGGUCCAGACUCCUACGGGAGGCAGCAGUGGGGAAUCUUGCGCAAUGGACGAAAGUCUGACGCAGCGACGCCGCGUGAGUGAUGAAGGCCCUCGGGUUGUAAAGCUCUGUGGAGGGGGACGAAUAAGCAUUGGUUAAUACCCAGUGUGAUGACGGUACCCUUUUAGCAAGCACCGGCUAACUCUGUGCCAGCAGCCCGCGGUAAGACAGAGGGUGCAAACGUUGUUUC